AGAGUUUGAUCAUGGCUCAGGAUGAACGCUAGCGGCAGGCCUAACACAUGCAAGUCGAGGGGCAUCGGGAUUGAAGCUUGCUUCAAUUGCCGGCGACCGGCGCACGGGUGCGUAACGCGUAUGUAACCUACCUAUAACCAGGGGUCAUAACACUGAGAAAUUAGGUACUAAUUCCCCACUAAUAUUCGGAGAGGCAUCUCUCCGGGUUGAAAACUCCGGUGGUUAUAGAUGGACAUGCGUUGUA
RNAcentral lists this ribosomal RNA (244 nucleotides) under uncultured bacterium. RNAcentral describes it as "partial 16S ribosomal RNA". It matches the Rfam family "Bacterial small subunit ribosomal RNA", at positions 8 to 240 of the family's 1533-position model. The record is from RNAcentral.